Molecule: long non-coding RNA, 5539 nt
Filed under: Gossypium barbadense (sea-island cotton)
Lineage: Eukaryota; Viridiplantae; Streptophyta; Magnoliopsida; Malvales; Malvaceae
Description: long non-coding RNA (GBAR_LNC006184)
Source: RNAcentral
AACUUUCUUGCAUAAAUCUGAAUCAUUAGUACAUUGAAUUAGUCAUUUCUACUCUAAUGGCAUUUUAAUAAUCUCUAUACUUGUCUUCAAGUCCUGAACAAGUCUAGUAUUGUGUUAUGCGCCUUGGCGUAAGAUCUAGUCACAGGUCUAGACGAGAAAGUAUCAUUACUUCGACCUAUGGUUACUCAAAGGCAGAUUCGUCUUUGACUGAACCCCCUUCCCAAACUAACGUUUGUGAUAAAAAAUAAACCCCCAUUUUAUUUCAUAUUGGCAGCCUUUUUAUAGGCUGUUAAUUACAAAGGAAAAUCCUAAUCUAAUUCCUAAUUUAAAGUCCUAAUAGAAUUCCUAAUUUAAAGUUUAUAAGGAAAUAAAAAACCUAGUAAAACUAAAACUCCCAAAGAAAUUAAAUAAAUGUAGAAUUCUAAUUCCUAUUCCUCCGUUGAUAUUGUUUUCCAAUGAAAACAUCUAUAUCAUUACUCCCCCUCUCGGAGUUGAGCUUGUCCUCAAGCUCAAAUUCAGGAUAAGCUGCUCGAAAAUUAUCAAUUGGUUCCCAAGUGGCAUCUUCUUGAGGGCAUCUUGCCCAUUGCACUAAUAGUUCCCGCCGACCCCGAUUAAGCCUGGUAUUAAUAAUAGCUUGUGGAGUAGGCAAGGCUUUGCCAUCAUAUACUAAGGGCAAGUCUCCGACCGCAUCUGGUUGAGGUCCCUUGUAUUCUUUGAGGAAAGAAACAUGAAAUACAUUAUGUAUUCUGCUGCCUGUAGGUAAUUCAAGCUGAUAGGCCACUGAUCCUAUUUUGUUCAAGACUUUAAAAGGACCAAAAUAUUUUGGCAAUAACUUGUGAUGCUUCUGUUUAGUUAUCGUCAAUUGUCGAUACUGUUGAAACCGUAACCAAACCCAAUCCCCGACUUUAAAAUUCAACUCUCUGUGCCCCAAAUCAUAAGUGGCUUUCAUUCGUUGCUGAGCUUGCAAGAGUCUAUCCCGAGCAUUGUGUAAAAGUGCAUCCCUAUCUUGUAGAGCCUUAUCCACAGCUUCAAUCCUUGUAGAACCAGCUGAAUAGGAGAGAAGUCGAGGUGGAUCCCUACCGUAUACUAAUUGGAAGGGAGUGGCCUUUAGGGCAGUGUGAUAUGAGGUGUUGUAGCAAUACUCCGCCCAUGGAACCCAAUCGACCUACUGUCGUGGACGAUCACUAGAGAGGCAUCGUAGGUACAUUUCUAUUGUUCGGUUAACUACCUCUUCUGACCAUCAGAUUGGGGAUGGUAUGCUGAGGAAAAAGCGAGCUUAGAACCACUUUGACGAAAUAAUUCCUUCCAAAACAGGCUGAGGAAAACUUUAUCACGGUCUGAAACUAUGGAUUCAGGCAAGCCAUGAAGUCGGAAUACCUCUGCAAAAAAGACGGCAGCAACAGAUAUAGCAGUAAAUGGAUGGGACAAAGGUAAAAAAUGAGCGUACUUCGACAGUCUGUCCACAACCACCAUAAGUACCGAUUUCCCUUUUACUUUGGGUAGACCCUCCACGAAAUCCAUAGAAAUAUCAGCCCAAACAUGUUGUGGUAUUGGAAGAGGUUGAAGUAAACCUGCGGGCUGUAAAUUUUUCCAUUUGUGGCGUUGGCAUACUAAACAAUGUUGCACAAAUUCUGAUGUUGCAAGCUUCAUUCCUUUCCAAAAAAAAUCUUGGCGAAGACGAUGCAAUGUUUUCAAUUCCCCUUCAUGUUCCAUAGUAUGUAUGGAGGAGAUAAGAGUGGGAAUAAUUGGUGAGGUAGGUAAAAGGUACAACCUCCCUUUGAAGAAAAUCAACCCAUCUUGUGCAACCCAAUCGGGCCCCAACUCUCAUUGUAGAAUUCUUUGCUGGAGUUGUGAUAAUUCUGGGGAAGCUUCUAUUUCUCGUCUGAUGGCUUUAAGAAUUUCAACUUGAGGGAAUGAAACAGUCAUGAGGUGUGGUAAGUCUUCGUCUUUUCUAGAUAAAGCAUCUGCAGCCCUGUUCAACUUCCCUGCUUUAUAUUCCAUUCGAAAAUCAAACCCCAUUAGCUUGCUGAUCCAAUGUUGUUGUGGAGAUGUCAUAAGUCGUUGGUCUAACAAAUACUUAAGACUGAAGUGAUCAGUACGGAUGAGGAAAUGCCUUCCCCAAAGAUAGGGUCGCCAAUGAGUCACUGCCUUUGCCAAACCAAUUAAUUCAUGUUCGUAGGCAGCCAACUUAAGGUGUCGAUCUGCAAUCUUGCAACUGAAAAAGGCAAUGGGGUGUCCCUUUUGCUGUAGUACAGCUCCAAACCCGCUGUCCGAAGCAUCAUAUUCAACCACAAAUUCCUCCGCAAAGUUGGGUAAUUGCAAAACUGGGGCUGCUGAAAGAGAAGUUUUUAAUUGGGUGAAAGCAACAUCAGCUUCCUUAGUCCAGUUGAAGGCAUUUUUCUUUAGAAGAGAUGUUAAGGGUGCAGCCACUUGUCCAUAAUUCUUGAUGAAUUUUCUGUAAUAUCCUGCCAACCCAAGAAAGCCUCGUAGAGCCUUGGUAGUUUUAGGAGUUGGCCAAUCGGUGACAUCUUUAAUUUUAGUGUGAUCAACCUCGACCCCUUCACCAUGGAUGACAUGACCGAGGUAGGUUACCUGAGACUCUCCAAAGAAACACUUGGAUUUCUUUAAGAACAACAUAUUAUCCCGCAAGAGUUCAAAAACUAAUCUUACAUGAUGCAUAUGUUCAGUCCAUGUUUUGCUAUAAAUUAAUAUGUCAUCAAAGAAGACUAAAACAAACUUACGCAAGUAAGGGCGAAAAAUGUCAUUCAUCAAACUCUGAAAUGUGGAAGGGGCAUUGGUAAGCCCGAAUGGCAUGACAAGAAACUCAAAGUGUCCAUGGUGGGUUCGGAAGGCUGUCUUUUCCACAUCAAUAGUUGCCAUUCUAAUUUGAAAAUAUCCCGAUUGUAAAUCCAAUUUUGUAAAAUAUUUUGCCCCAUGAAGUUCAUCCAACAAUUCAUCCACGACAUGAAUCGGAUAUUUGUCUUUAACAGUGCAAGCAUUAAGCUCUCGAUAAUCGAUGCAAAAACGCCAUGACCCGUCAUGCUUAUUUACUAAUAGUACUGGAGAAGAGAAUGGUGAUCUACUGGGUCGAAUGAUUCCUUGUUGUAACAUUUGGUCACACUGCUUCUCAAUCUCAUCCUUUUGAAAAUGUGGAUAUCGAUAAGGCCUGACUACAAUUGGUCCCGUUCCUGGUUUGAGAGUUAUACGAUGGUUACAUUUGCGGUUAGGAGGUAACCUAGACGGUUCUUGGAAUAAAUGCGCAAAUUCUACCAGUAGCUUAUCUAAUACUAUAUUAGUUAAAUUCUGUCCCUGUAUCAAGCUGAGUCGUGGAACUUCCUUUGGGUGCUGCCCUUGCCAGAGUAUCUUCUUCUUGUUUACUGCAAAUUGCAUAAUUAAGGAGCUGAAAUCCCAUAAAAUUGGACCAAGGGUACACAACCAUUUAACCUCCAAAAUCAUAUCAAACCCUUCUAAUGGUAUUGUAUAAAAAUCAGCUUGAAAGUUGUCAUUGGCCACAACGAACUGUACUGAUUUACAAAUGCCAAUGUUAGGAACCCGUUCUCCGUUUGCCACACAUACUUGCAACCCCCUUUUCUUUUGUAUUUUCAGUCCCAAUCUUGGCACUAGACCUUCGCGUAGAAAGUUAUGUGUACUGCCUGAAUCAACAAGAACUAACACUGUUUUUCCUGACACCUUUGCUGGUAGUUGCAUAGUAGAUGAAUUGCAAGUUCCUCUAAUGGCAUGUAAGGAAAUUUCAAGAUCAUCUACCUCAUCAUCUUGCUCAUCUUCAAUAUUUGGUACUUCUAUCCAAAAUAGUCUUUUACAUUUGUGCCCCAUGGAGUAAGACUCGUCACAAUUAUAACACAAUCCCUUAGCCCUUCUCUCUGCCAUCUCUGCUCGUGUCAAUCUUUUGAUAAAUGGUGCGGAAGAACCUAUUUUGCUGUUAUUCCCCAUUGGUUUCGUUGUUUGUCCUUCUCCCUUUGCAAAGCUCUUAGUUGUUGGAAUAAUGGAAUUGAUGCCAGUGUUUUGGGAAGCUGACCAGUUUAGAUUGGUUUGAGAUAACAUCUUGGAAGAGACUUUUUGUUUCCGUUCCAGAGCUCGAGCCAUAUUCAUUGCAACUCCAAGGUUUCCCGGUUGUUACAUCUCGAUAUCAAUUCUAAGUUCCUCUACUAAUCCGGCAGUAAAAAGGUUUACUUGUUGUCGAGGUUUAAGAUCAGUAGUCCUAGCCAGUAGUGAUUGAAAUUGACGUUGAUAUUCUUCUACCGUCCCAGUUUGUCUCAAGUUUGCAAGUUCCCCCAAGGGGUUAUUACUCAUAGGUGGCCCAAACCUGACAUGACAACACUCUCUAAAACGCUCCCAAUCCAAAUUUGCCUCCUCUUCCUCGAUUUGAUCAAACCACAAUUGUGCUUCUCCUAAGAGAUGGAAUGAAGCUAAGCCGACUUUGUCUUCUUCGUUGGUCCGCUGAUUGCCAAAAAAAUUUUCGCAUCUUUUUAACCAUCCUAAAGGAUCACCAACACCAUCAUAAGUGGGAAAUUCCAUCUUGGAGUAUCUUGGCACCAUGCCCCCACCGUGUUGUGAAUCUAAAUUUCUUUUCUUGCCUCCACUGCUGCCUUGUUCUUCAUUAUUUUUUUCUAAAUUCUCUUUCGUUGUCUUUUGGACUGAAAGAGAUAAAAUCGCCAUCUGCUCCUCUAAUGCUUGUUGCCUUGUAGCCAUUUGUUCCAUAAAUGCCUCCAGCUUAGCUGUCAAAGUUUUUUCGUCACCCAUGACAACUGACUCCGAUACCAAGUUGUUAUGCGCCUUGGCGUAAGAUCUAGUCACAGGUCUAGACGAGAAAGUAUCCUUGCUUCGACCUAUGGUUACUCAAAGGCAGAUUCGUCUUUGACUGAACCCCCUUCCCAAACUAACGUUUGUGAUAAAAAAUAAACCCCCCUUUUAUUUCAUAUUGGCAGCCUUUUUAUAGGCUGUUAAUUACAAAAGGAAAAUCCUAAUCUAAUUCCUAAUUUAAAGUCCUAAUAGAAUUCCUAAUUUAAAGUUUAUAAGGAAAUAAAAAACCUAGUAAAACUAAAACUCCCAAAGAAAUUAAAUAAAUGUAGAAUUCUAAUUCCUAUUCCUCCGUUGAUAUUGUUUUCCAAUGAAAACAUCUAUAUCAUAUUGUUCCGUAGGAUUUUAUCUUCCGGCUCUGCCCGAGUACCUGAAGGGACAGAGUAGGAGCGCCUCAUAGAGUGCCUGGAAAGGCAAACCAUGCGUGAUUGUGCAUGGCUGGACUCAAACCCCUGCCCUACAGGGCAUUUAUGGGUGAGACUGCCAAGUCCAAAAACCUGUCAAGAAAAAUGCUGGCAUGCAAUAUGUCAAGUUUCAAAUGACAUUUUCUUGGCAAUUUAUAUCUACUUUUGAAUAUAGAUUUUUUUCUUUUUUCAUUUUUCUUUUUUGUUCUCGGUGCUAACUGCUUAGUUCACAUCGAAUGUUGUUCGGUGUAGUUGUUCAGCACCUAUCUAGCGGCCUUGUUUCCAUUAGAACAACAAACACUGAAUUAUUUUUGCAG